Myotis lucifugus (little brown bat) is the source of this 152-nucleotide small nucleolar RNA. The record is from Ensembl. NCBI's taxonomy places the organism in Eukaryota, Metazoa, Chordata, Mammalia, Chiroptera, Vespertilionidae.
GCAUGUAUUUGGCAGGCACAAUACUAGCUGUCUUUCCUUUUCUAAAAUGUGUGCAAUUCAUAGUGGACCCAUGCCAGAGGAAGUUGCAGCCUCAAACCAUUGCCCAGCCUCCUUACCCUUGGGCUGUGAGCACUGAAGGGGGCUGUACAGUA